RNAcentral lists this long non-coding RNA (338 nucleotides) under Marmota monax (woodchuck). Lineage: Eukaryota; Metazoa; Chordata; Mammalia; Rodentia; Sciuridae. The record is from RNAcentral.
GGCAUUCAGAGGGGAAGGGAGGCCAUGCUGGAGAGGGACCCACAACUCUGAUGGGCAUAAGCACGCGCUCGGUACACACACACACAAACACACACACACAAACACACACACACAUCCACAUGCACACAGAGUUAAGUGAAAGAAGAGGAACAGAAAGGCAGCUGUUCGAUGAUUUGCCCCUUCUCUCUAGAAUAAGAUCCCACAGAGGAAAGGGACUCAAGGCAAGGAGAAGGAAAAAGGUAGCUUCAUCUGAUGAGUGAACCCAGAAGUGAUUUCUGGAGACAUUUGUGAGUCUUUCCUGAGGCUCAAUUCAAAUUCAUUUAAGAUGCAGAGAGAGG